Molecule: non-coding RNA, 47 nt
Organism: Aedes aegypti (yellow fever mosquito)
Lineage: Eukaryota; Metazoa; Arthropoda; Insecta; Diptera; Culicidae
Source: Rfam
CAAUGGGCCCUUUUCAGGGCCAACAAAUGUAUACAACAGAGUUAAUU